UACGUAGGGUGCGAGCGUUAAUCGGAAUUACUGGGCGUAAAGCGUGCGCAGGCGGUUUGAUAAGUCAGAUGUGAAAUCCCCGGGCUCAACCUGGGAACUGCGUUUGAAACUAUCAAGCUAGAGUAUGGGAGAGGGAGGUAGAAUUCCACGUGUAGCAGUGAAAUGCGUAGAGAUGUGGAGGAAUACCAAUGGCGAAGGCAGCCUCCUGGCCUAAUACUGACGCUCAUGCACGAAAGCGUGGGGAGCAAACAGG
RNAcentral lists this ribosomal RNA (253 nucleotides) under uncultured bacterium. RNAcentral describes it as "partial 16S ribosomal RNA". It matches the Rfam family "Bacterial small subunit ribosomal RNA", at positions 524 to 776 of the family's 1533-position model. The record is from RNAcentral.